Molecule: ribosomal RNA, 485 nt
Filed under: Gemelliphila palaticanis
Lineage: Bacteria; Bacillati; Bacillota; Bacilli; Caryophanales; Gemellaceae
Description: bacterial SSU rRNA
Rfam family: Bacterial small subunit ribosomal RNA
Source: RNAcentral
GAGUUUGAUUAUGGCUCAGGACGAACGCUGGCGGCGUGCCUAAUACAUGCAAGUCGAGCGGAGUUGAAUAAGUGCUUGCACUAAUUCAACUUAGCGGCGAACGGGUGAGUAACACGUAAAGAACCUGCCUCAUAGACUGGGACAACUACUGGAAACGGUAGCUAAUACCGGAUAACAUAUUUUUCCGCAUGGAAGAAUAUUGAAAGUCGGUCAUGCUGACACUAUGAGAUGGCUUUGCGGUGCAUUAACUAGUUGGUAGGGUAAAGGCCUACCAAGGCGACGAUGCAUAGCCGACCUGAGAGGGUGAUCGGCCACACUGGGACUGAGACACGGCCCAGACUCCUACGGGAGGCAGCAGUAGGGAAUCUUCCGCAAUGGACGAAAGUCUGACGGAGCAACGCCGCGUGAGUGAAGAAGGAUUUCGGUUCGUAAAACUCUGUUGUUAGGGAAGAAUGAUUGUAUAGUAACUAUAUACAGUAGAGACG